AUUGAACGCUGGCGGCAUGCCUUACACAUGCAAGUCGAACGGCAGCACGGGAGCAAUCCUGGUGGCGAGUGGCGAACGGGUGAGUAAAGUAUCGGAACGUGCCCAGUCGUGGGGGAUAACGUAGCGAAAGUUACGCUAAUACCGCAUACGAUCUAUGGAUGAAAGCGGGGGAUCGCAAGACCUCGCGCGAUUGGAGCGGCCGAUAUCAGAUUAGGUAGUUGGUGGGGUAAAGGCUCACCAAGCCGACGAUCUGUAGCUGGUCCGAGAGGACGACCAGCCACACUGGGACUGAGACACGGCCCAGACUCCUACGGGAGGCAGCAGUGGGGAAUUUUGGACAAUGGGCGAAAGCCUGGUCCAGCCAUGCCGCGUGCAGGAUGAAGGCCUUCGGGUUGUAAACUGCUUUUGUACGGAACGAAAAGGUUUGGCCUAAUAAGCUGAGCUCAUGACGGUACCGUAAGAAUAAGCACCGGCUAACUACGUGCCAGCCGCCGCGGUAA
This 500-nucleotide ribosomal RNA is filed under the name uncultured bacterium. RNAcentral's name for it is "partial 16S ribosomal RNA". It matches the Rfam family "Bacterial small subunit ribosomal RNA", at positions 30 to 523 of the family's 1533-position model. The record is from RNAcentral.